AUCCAGCUGAUGAGUCGCAAAAUGGGACGAAGUGGUGCGCGUCCUGGAU
This 49-nucleotide non-coding RNA is filed under the name Schistosoma margrebowiei. The record is from RNAcentral. Lineage: Eukaryota; Metazoa; Platyhelminthes; Trematoda; Strigeidida; Schistosomatidae.